This is a long non-coding RNA of Chenopodium quinoa (quinoa), 1485 nucleotides long. RefSeq lists it as uncharacterized. NCBI's taxonomy places the organism in Eukaryota, Viridiplantae, Streptophyta, Magnoliopsida, Caryophyllales, Amaranthaceae. The transcript is spliced from 4 exons. The record is from RefSeq and is a predicted model, not a curated record.
UUUUUGGUGGUAAUAAAUAAUUUUGUGUGUUUUUUUGGGUAAUAGUGAAAAAAAUUCAUAAAAAAACCCUUAGUAUUACAUGUUGUUCCCUCAAACCAAGAACUAAAUCGCUCUUUUUUACUUGAGUCAUUCAUAAUACGUAAUUACAUACUCUUCUUCCUCCAAAAAAAAAAAAAAAAAAAAACAAAACAGAAGGCACUUCAGAGUAAUCAAUCAACCCGUCGUCGUCGUCUUCAUGUGUCGCCGCUGCGCCACCACAUCUCCUCCCAGCUCUCGUAUGGUUGUGCUAGUUCUGUUGCUGCUGAAAUCUAAUUCUGCAAGCUCCUUGAUAGAUGAUUAUGCCCCGAGCCUAGAGACACGUGAACAAGAAGGCCAGAUUGCGGAUAAUAGCAGUGAUAUCUGGGUUUGCUUAUGCUCUAGCUUCUUAUUGACAAUAUCAGCAGGCCGCACCAAAUGUGACUCAUUUGCUAUUUAAAUUUGAUCUAGAUACCCUGAUUGAGCUUACAUCCUUACAGCCAAGAUUUAAUUAUAGGUACGGUGACUUUAGGUUUAUGUGAAUUCUUUGUAUUGAUUGUUUUGUUCUUAUAAGUUUUCUCAUCUCUGUACUGAUUUGUGAUACAGAGUUGCUUAAUUAUGGUUAUUCUUGAUAUGUUGGAUAAACUUUUGAAGCCGGUCAUAAAUGCAUUGCUUCAUGAGUGUUUGGGUACUAAAAUGGUCAUACCCAUUUUAGUCUUGGGUAAUUCUACCCAUUUAAGCUUAAAGGGCAUAAAAAGGUCUAAAAGGUCCCAAAUAAGUAAAAUGCAUCAAUAUAGCCUUCAACGGCCCACAUAUGUACUUCUAAGGGUUCACUAACACCCACCAUGUACUCCUAUAUAUACCCCUCAAGGGGCCAAAGGUAAAGAAGGUCACUCUCAUCAUCUAAGAUGACCAUACUCCUUCACUCUCUCCCCUUAACUCCUCUCAAUAUAUUCAUUGUUUGGCUACUAACUUUGGCGCCGGAGGCUCCACCCCGGGGCCCACCCCCGGGGCUCGGGGUUCAUUUUUCAUGUCGAUUUAAGGCCCAAAUUCGAGGUUCUCAGGCACCCCUUCGAGGCCCAGUUAGCUCAUUUUUUGCCGAAACAAUGAUUAUGAAUUUCAGGGAGAAUAUAUGGAAAAACUUGAGGAAUAUAAGAACAAAGAAAUUGAGAUAAGCUCCAACAAAGUCUACUUAGAGGUUGUAUGUGGGCAAAAGAAAGGAAAAGUUUACGGUUUAGGGAGCGCUUCAUAAAUGUACUUCAAGAACGAUUUGUGGAUAACUAUUGAUCUUUAAUAUUUGGAGGCAUAUUUGUAUAUCGUCAUUAGUUCUUAUUUGAAGUAGCUUCCUUUAUAUGGGUGGUAAUUUUGAAACAAUUAGUCAUGUGGUUUAGAAUAUUAUUUUUUAUUAUAUUGAUACAAAUUGAUGAUAUUUUUGAUAUUUUAAUAAAAUUGACAUUUUGGUUAUUUUAA